GACGAACGCUGGCGGCGUGCUUAACACAUGCAAGUCGAACGGAAAGGCCCUGCUUUUGUGGGGUGCUCGAGUGGCGAACGGGUGAGUAACAAGUGAGUAACCUGCCCUUGACUUUGGGAUAACUUCAGGAAACUGGGGCUAAUACCGGAUAGGAGCUCCUGCUGCAUGGUGGGGGUUGGAAAGGUUCGGCGGUUGGGGAUGGACUCGCGGCUUAUCAGCUUGUUGGUGGGGUAGUGGCUUACCAAGGCUUUGACGGGUAGCCGGCCUGAGAGGGUGACCGGCCACAUUGGGACUGAGAUACGGCCCAGACUCCUACGGGAGGCAGCAGUGGGGAAUAUUGCACAAUGGGCGGAAGCCUGAUGCAGCAACGCCGCGUGCGGGAUGACGGCCUUCGGGUUGUAAACCGCUUUCGCCUGUGACGAAGCGUGAGUGACGGUAAUGGGUAAAGAAGCACCGGCUAACUACGU
Molecule: ribosomal RNA, 467 nt
Filed under: uncultured bacterium
Lineage: Bacteria
Description: partial 16S ribosomal RNA
Rfam family: Bacterial small subunit ribosomal RNA
Source: RNAcentral